GGGGACAACCCGCCGAAAGGCGGGCUAAACCCGCGUACAUGCCACCGGGGCAUCCCGGAGGCAGGAAAGGCUUCGGCCGGACAGGGAUGGGCACGCGGCGCAUUAGGCAGUAGGCGGGGUAACGGCCCACCUAACCGACGAUGCGUAGGGGUUCUGAGAGGAAGGUCCCCCACACUGGUACUGAGACACGGACCAGACUCCUACGGGAGGCAGCAGUGAGGAAUAUUGGUCAAUGGUCGGGAGACUGAACCAGCCAAGCCGCGUGAGGGAUGAAGGUACAGAGUAUCGUAAACCUCUUUUGUCAGGGAACAAAGGCGGGGACGUGUCCCCGGAUGAGUGUACCUGAAGAAAAAGCAUCGGCUAACUCCGUGCCAGCAGCCGCGGUAAUACGGAGGAUGCGAGCGUUAUCCGGAUUUAUUGGGUUUAAAGGGUGCGCAGGCGGUCUGUUAAGUCAGCGGUCAAAGCCCGGGGCUCAACCCCGGCCCGCCGUUGAAACUGGCAGUCUCGAGUUGGAGAGAAGUAUGCGGAAUGCGCGGUGUAGCGGUGAAAUGCAUAGAUAUCGCGCAGAACUCCGAUUGCGAAGGCAGCAUGCCGGCUCCACACUGACGCUGAGGCACGAAAGCGUGGGUAUCGAACAGGAUUAGAUACCCUGGUAGUCCACGCAGUAAACG
Molecule: ribosomal RNA, 671 nt
Filed under: uncultured bacterium
Lineage: Bacteria
Description: bacterial SSU rRNA
Rfam family: Bacterial small subunit ribosomal RNA
Source: RNAcentral